GUCCUUGCGGAGGAAAAGACUAUUAAGGGUAACUGCUCCAAUCAGAUAGAAAUGCUGUUUCACGGCCUGCUUUAGAAGCUCAGAGUCCAAGCCAUUCUGACACAUUGUGGUGUAAAAAUAGCUGAGCUGUUGCAGGAUGGAGGUCAUAGUGUAGGCAUCUGUGUCAUCUAUGCUAGAAGAGCGCUUGCGGAAUCCGGUUGGUUUUAAGCCAGAAAUCCCCUGGAGGCUUUCAUACUCGAGCAUUCCUGGCACUGGAGAAGAUAACAACAAGCAAACAACAUUUUAAAAAGGUUUCUUUAUCACAGGCUCUGGAAACCAGUCAUGCUGUUUAAAGUUAAGAAAAUGGCAUGUGUUUGAGAGCCAGAAGGACAACAUCUCAAAGUCUUCAACAUGUUCCUAAACAAAUUAUCUACAAGCAAGCAAGAGGGAUGGAUGACCAAUCCUUGCUUACACAGACAAUUAAGAUAAUCACUUUACGUAAUAGUUGGCGAUCUGUUUUUUUUUAAUUAUAUGGUUUUUACUGUGCAU
This is a long non-coding RNA of Rhineura floridana, 528 nucleotides long. RefSeq lists it as uncharacterized. The record is from RefSeq and is a predicted model, not a curated record. The transcript has 3 exons. NCBI's taxonomy places the organism in Eukaryota, Metazoa, Chordata, Lepidosauria, Squamata, Rhineuridae.